Molecule: ribosomal RNA, 253 nt
Filed under: uncultured bacterium
Lineage: Bacteria
Description: partial 16S ribosomal RNA
Rfam family: Bacterial small subunit ribosomal RNA
Source: RNAcentral
UACGUAGGGUGCGAGCGUUGUCCGGAAUUAUUGGGCGUAAAGGGCUCGUAGGCGGUUUGUCGCGUCGGGAGUGAAAUCCACUGGCUUAACUGGUGGCUUGCUUUCGAUACGGGCAGACUGGAGGUAUGCAGGGGAGAACGGAAUUCCUGGUGUAGCGGUGAAAUGCGCAGAUAUCAGGAGGAACACCGGUGGCGAAGGCGGGUCUCUGGGCCGAUACUGACGCUGAGGUGCGAAAGCGUGGGGAGCGAACAGG